RNAcentral lists this unclassified non-coding RNA (2245 nucleotides) under Stegodyphus dumicola. RNAcentral describes it as "uncharacterized LOC118198644, transcript variant X2". Lineage: Eukaryota; Metazoa; Arthropoda; Arachnida; Araneae; Eresidae. The record is from RNAcentral.
UCAUAAAAGGAGAGUUCGUUACGUCUAUUUUCUCGAAAGUAUAUUGUUUCUGUAUGUAUUUCGUCUAACAAAGUGUUGAAUUUUAUUUUUAAUCAUUUGGGACAUUUCACAUGUAGGUAUUGUCGCUGUCAAGUGUCAUUUAAAUUUUACAAAAUGGAAAAGUAUUAUUUUGUUUUCCACAUACAGAGAAGUUGCAGAUUUGCAUAAAAAGUAAGAAGGAUCUUUUCGAGAAAGUGUAUUUUAUGAUGGUCAUCUAGGUUUUAUAUUUAGCUAAAUGAUAAGGUAAUUAUAUUUGUGUAGUAAAUAUUAUAAAAUUCCAUUCUUUUGAAUUAAAAAUAUGAGAUUUAUUAUUUCAUAAUGUUUAGUUCAUUACCAAGUGCUACCAAGAUAUAUGUUAAUGCGAAUAAAACACGGCAGAAACAUUCUUCCAGCACAAAGAAAAAACGAAAAAAUGUUGUAUGUACUAAUUUUGCUUCUGAAGUUGGUGCUGGGGUUGAUACUCUUAUAGCAUCUUCUAUUGAAAUGAAAGAAGACGAUGAUUUUUCAUCUGGAAAAGAUACUUCAAAAAUCGAUAGUCCUGACCGAAAAUUUCAAAAUUUCUCCAAUGACGUCGAAAAAGAACUUAGUUUUGAGAAGACUGAUAAAGAUAAAAUUUAUAUUGAAUCAAAUAAUGUUCAUUUUUUUAAUAGUAGUUCUGUACCUUUUGCUGAUAAUAUUGUUGAUAAAAUUGAGUGCGGAGAAGGUCAAAAUGCCAAUGAUGAAGAUAAAUAUGUAUCUGAUGAACUUGAUGUAGAGCAGCUAACUCAGGCUACUAAUGAGUUGCAUGAUUCUCAAUGCAUUAAUCAAGAUCAGUUAUUUGAUAUGAAUGUGGAUGAGAAAAAAAAUAUCAUUAGUAAUGAUUUAUGUAGUAGACCAGUUGAUAUGGUAUCUACAGAUCAGCAAGUGGAAGAUUGUAUACAAGAAUGUCAAAGUAGUAAUGUUUUUGAUAAUGAUGAUCCUAAGUGUCUAAUUUAUACUACUGAUUUAUCAAAAGACUCUACUGGUAAUGAAGAUUCUAGUCUUGAUGUUAAUCAGAAUGUUCCCGAGCUUGUUGUAGAAGCUGUUUUGCCUACUAUAUGUGAUGAAGAUGAGUCUGCUGUAUUAAACGAAGGUUUUCAUACUGUAGAUUUUGAUCUAAAAUCUCCAGAAACUGACACUUCCAUUCUUGUUGACUUUGAUAAUUCACAUUAUGAAAAAAGUGAUAUUACAUUAGAUGAUUCUUUGCUUUCUGUGCAGUUUAAUGAUCUGACAAAAAAUCUUUCAUCCGAUAGUGCUUCAGUGAGAAGUGAUUGCUGUUUAGCUACAAACAUUUAUGAUGAACGUACUGAGCUUAUUGAAUACGAAAAUACAUCUGAUCAAGAGGAGCACUGCAUUGGUGAUUCUUCUAUGUUACCACAAAUGCAGUCUCCUGAGCAAAGUGAAUUAAGCUGUACAGAAAGUGCACGAUCUGAAAAUAAAAAUGGUGAUACUGUUUCUGAGAGUUCUGUCUCAUCAGGAAAACCAGAUACAAGUACUUCAGCUACAACUGCUUCUUCUGUAGUGCAUGAACAUCAGAAAAAUGGUACAACUACUUCAAAAGAUAUUGAUCCACGUGUAUCCUCUGAUGGCAGUUUAUACUGCAAAAAUAUUUUACCGUUUUCUGAAAUAUUUUCCCACUCAUUGCCAAAUCUGAGUAUUGUAAAGGAAAGGGCUGUAAAAUUUCAGUGUAAGAGUUUAAGUCAUUUAAAGAAAGCUUCUAAUUUUUCAGACAAAUCAACAGUAACUACAGAUAUUCAAUAUUUCUGUGAAAAUAGUAGAAAGGAAUGCGAAUCUUGUCAAAGCAGUAAAAAAGAAUUUAAAUUUGCAAAUGAGGAAAGUGUUGAACAGAAAACAAAUUCUGUAGACUCGCUGCUAUCAGAAGGCAGAUCGUCAACUUUCAAAAGUGUUUCAUCAACUGUUACGAAACUUUUACCACCAGUUGCUAUGAUGCAGGCCAGAUCGAGGAUUUAACUGCUACAGUGCAAAGUCUGAAACCUGGACUCGUCAAACUUUGGUGGUUCUGGACUUGGGAUUUUUCUGGAUAUUAAAUCAUCAGUUUAAAUCUAAAGCUAUGUCUUUGGAAGUAUAGGACCUUCAGGUUCUCUACUUGGAAAUGAAGAGCUGUUACGUUUUUUUCCGGAUAAAAAAGUGUCCAUUUUUAUGGGAACAUGGAAUAUGAAUGGUCAUG